GACCCGCACAAGCGGUGGAGCAUGUGGUUUAAUUCGAUGCAACGCGAAGAACCUUACCUGGUCUUGACAUCCUGCGAACUUUCUAGAGAUAGAUUGGUGCCUUCGGGAACGCAGUGACAGGUGCUGCACGGCUGUCGUCAGCUCGUGUUGUGAAAAUGUUGGGUUAAGUCCCGCAACGAGCGCAACCCCCUAUUGAUAGUUGCCUUUAUGGAACUCUAGAAAGACUGCUGGUUAUAAACCGGAGGAAGGCGGGAUGACGUCAAGUCAGCAUGCCCCUUACACCCUGGGCUACACACGUGCUACAUUGGGCGAGACAAUGAGACGCAAAUCUGUGAAGACUAGCUAAUCUAUAAACUCGUUCUA
RNAcentral lists this ribosomal RNA (363 nucleotides) under uncultured bacterium. RNAcentral's name for it is "bacterial SSU rRNA". It matches the Rfam family "Bacterial small subunit ribosomal RNA", at positions 918 to 1289 of the family's 1533-position model. The record is from RNAcentral.